GCCGGGGUGGCGGAACUGGCAGACGCACAGGACUUAAAAUCCUGCGGUGAGUGAUCACCGUACCGGUUCAAUUCCGGUCCUCGGCACCA
RNAcentral lists this transfer RNA (89 nucleotides) under Staphylococcus aureus. RNAcentral describes it as "tRNA-Leu". It matches the Rfam family "tRNA". From Rfam's summary of the family: Transfer RNA (tRNA) molecules are approximately 80 nucleotides in length. Their secondary structure includes four short double-helical elements and three loops (D, anti-codon, and T loops). Lineage: Bacteria; Bacillati; Bacillota; Bacilli; Caryophanales; Staphylococcaceae. The record is from RNAcentral.